Molecule: unclassified non-coding RNA, 225 nt
Filed under: Glomus sp.
Lineage: Eukaryota; Fungi; Glomeromycota; Glomeromycetes; Glomerales; Glomeraceae
Description: partial contains 5.8S ribosomal RNA and internal transcribed spacer 2
Source: RNAcentral
GUGAAUCAUCGAAUCUUUGAGCGCAAAUCGCACUCUCCUCGGAGAGUAUGCCUGUUUGAGGGUCAGCCUAAAUAAAACCGCCUUAGUAGCUGCUGUGUUCCACGGUACCGUUGGUCGGAACUUGGGUCUUCUUAAACCGAAAGGUCUAAGCGACUUAAAAAUUUUUUUACGAUCUAACGAACGUUUUUAAGAUUUCCUUAAAGGUUCCCUGUUAUGUUAUUUUUU